Bombus impatiens (common eastern bumble bee) is the source of this 1246-nucleotide long non-coding RNA. RefSeq lists it as uncharacterized. NCBI's taxonomy places the organism in Eukaryota, Metazoa, Arthropoda, Insecta, Hymenoptera, Apidae. The record is from RefSeq and is a predicted model, not a curated record. The transcript is spliced from 3 exons.
ACGACGAGGGGUGGGAGAUUUCCUCACACGUAGCAGACGGGGGGGACUCGCUUCUUAUUUCAGUUAAACGUAAUACGCGUGCUUCGCGACAUCAAUUAACCUCUUUGUUUUGAUGCUGUGAACGAAGUGUUGUUGUAUAGAUAUAUUGCAUAGUUUAUCGGCUUUACCCAUCGUACAAAGUUUCUACGAUCUACGUACUUAUACGUGAUUCUUUAUGCAUCUCGGUUUCGUGUGCGCCAUUUUGUAUGUGAGUUUGUGUCAGAAAGCAAUGCCUGAUGAGGAUCUUUGGAGAAUCAUGUCGAUAACGGAGGAUACAGACAAGAAAUUAUGAACAUUAAAUGCGAUCUGAAUCUUCCGACCCACAGCAUACAUCUGCAUGCGUAACACAGGAAUCAAGCUGUAUAAUAUGUCAGACGUAGGUUUACUAUCAAAGGUAAUCUCGGGGAUCGUAGACGGGUUCACGGUAAUCGGUUUCCAUUGGUAUACGAAACACCUACAGCACUCUAGGACGGAGCACUAUUACCUACGAUGCUCUGACACCUGUAUGUAUAGCCGCCUGCACUUAACGCUAACGUUAAACCGUGUAAUGGAUCGACGAUACUGUUGCAAGAGUCCCUGCAGCUAUUUCGAGCCCUCGCACGCCCGAUUCCCUUUUCUGUAAAAUACACCGGCAACGUCAUUGAUUGGAAUCAAUCAUCGGUAGUUGCGUCCACCGCGUUGUACCAAAAAAAAAAAAAAAAGAAAAAAUGCCGCAGCCGAAAAAAAUCGAACUGUCACUGUUUCGCGGUGAAUAACUGUCUACGCAGGUGCGACGCGCCAGUACGUUUUCCCACGAGACUUUGCUUUUCCCUUCGCCGACGUUAGUCAACGCAGUUUUGUUGCAAAUUGUGCUGUUCCUUUCGCGCUCCACACUUUGUCCACAUUUUAGACUUUGAUUGUUUGGUGACAAAGAAAAGCCUGUUAAUUACGUCAAAUUAGCAGAUUGCUUGUUUAUUCUUUUUGAAUUUCACGUGAAAGUGGUCUUAAUGGCAUUUAGAUAUGAAAUAGGCCAAAUUUUCAAACAAAUGUUUACGAGUAAUGAAUGUAGUAAACUCUGAAAAACAAAUGUUCAGAAACAAUGAAUAUUGUUUGGGUUCCGAGGAGUACAUGGUGGACAGUGGAAAUCUUUUUCUCGAAAUGUUAAUAAUAUUAUUAGGUUGUUGGAAAAGUUUCUUUCGUUUCAUAAGGUGAUAAUAAAUGAACAACA